This 128-nucleotide transfer RNA is filed under the name Penicillium griseofulvum. It matches the Rfam family "tRNA". Rfam says of the family: Transfer RNA (tRNA) molecules are approximately 80 nucleotides in length. Their secondary structure includes four short double-helical elements and three loops (D, anti-codon, and T loops). The record is from Rfam by way of RNAcentral. Lineage: Eukaryota; Fungi; Ascomycota; Eurotiomycetes; Eurotiales; Aspergillaceae.
AGCAUGUUAGCUCAGGGGAAGAGCGCCGGGCUCAUAACCCGGAGGUACGUUUCACCGCCACCAAAUUUGAUAAAAAAUUCAUCCAACUAACUCUCAUCAGGACCCUGGAUCGAAACCAGGACAUGCUA